Molecule: ribosomal RNA, 592 nt
Filed under: uncultured bacterium
Lineage: Bacteria
Description: bacterial SSU rRNA
Rfam family: Bacterial small subunit ribosomal RNA
Source: RNAcentral
UACUCCUACGGGAGGCAGCAGUAGGGAAUCUUCCGCAAUGGGCGAAAGCCUGACGGAGCAACGCCGCGUGAGUGAUGAAGGUCUUCGGAUCGUAAAACUCUGUUAUUAGGGAAGAACAUAUGUGUAAGUAACUGUGCACAUCUUGACGGUACCUAAUCAGAAAGCCACGGCUAACUACGUGCCAGCAGCCGCGGUAAUACGUAGGUGGCAAGCGUUAUCCGGAAUUAUUGGGCGUAAAGCGCGCGUAGGCGGUUUUUUAAGUCUGAUGUGAAAGCCCACGGCUCAACCGUGGAGGGUCAUUGGAAACUGGAAAACUUGAGUGCAGAAGAGGAAAGUGGAAUUCCAUGUGUAGCGGUGAAAUGCGCAGAGAUAUGGAGGAACACCAGUGGCGAAGGCGACUUUCUGGUCUGUAACUGACGCUGAUGUGCGAAAGCGUGGGGAUCAAACAGGAUUAGAUACCCUGGUAGUCCACGCCGUAAACGAUGAGUGCUAAGUGUUAGGGGGUUUCCGCCCCUUAGUGCUGCAGCUAACGCAUUAAGCACUCCGCCUGGGGAGUACGACCGCAAGGUUGAAACUCAAAUGAAUUGACGGA